CUCUCUCUCUCUCAAUUUCAAUUAAGUUCAAUUCGCUUUAUUGGCAUGAUCAGAACAAUGUACAUAUUGCAAAGCUUAUUUUGGAUAUUUACAAUCUCUCUCUCUCCUUUUCUCUCUCUGUCUCCUUGUCUCUCUCCUUUCUCUCUCUCUCUCUCUUUCACUCUCGCUGAUGAGAGGGGAUGUGCUCCUUUGAGAGAGCUCAACCACUGUGGAUGUGUAUAUGUGUGUGUGUGUGUGUGUGUGUUUGUAGUGGCUCUGACAGGGUGAGAUCUCCCAGAAGAGUGCCAGGGGAAAGGGAGGAUGAAGCCUGGGAGGGUUUUAACAGAGCAACAGCAGGGUUGGAGCACCGAGCAGAGAGCAUGUCCCCUUAUGUCUAAAUCUAAUCAUAUGUUAUUGGUCACAUACACAUGGUUAGCAGAUGUUAUUGAUCACAUACACAUGGUUAGCAGAUGUUAUUGGUCACAUACACAUGGUUAGCAGAUGUUAUUGGUCACAUACACAUGGUUAGCAGAUGUUAUUGGUCACAUACACAUGGUUAGCAGAUGUUAUUGGUCACAUACACAUGGUUAGCAGAUGUUAUUGGUCACAUGGUUAGCAGAUGUUAUUGAUCACAUACACAUGGUUAGCAGAUGUUAUUGAUCACAUACACAUGGUUAGCAGAUGUUAUUGGUCACAUGGUUAGCAGAUGUUAUUGGUCACAUACACAUGGUUAGCAGAUGUUAUUGGUCACAUACACAUGGUUAGCAGAUGUUAU
Molecule: long non-coding RNA, 754 nt
Organism: Oncorhynchus tshawytscha (Chinook salmon)
Lineage: Eukaryota; Metazoa; Chordata; Actinopteri; Salmoniformes; Salmonidae
Source: Ensembl